GAUGAACGCUGGCGGCGUGCCUAAUACAUGCAAGUCGAGCGAACAGACGAGGAGCUUGCUCCUCUGACGUUAGCGGCGGACGGGUGAGUAACACGUGGAUAACCUACCUAUAAGACUGGGAUAACUUCGGGAAACCGGAGCUAAUACCGGAUAAUAUAUUGAACCGCAUGGUUCAAUAGUGAAAGACGGUUUUGCUGUCACUUAUAGAUGGAUCCGCGCCGCAUUAGCUAGUUGGUAAGGUAACGGCUUACCAAGGCAACGAUGCGUAGCCGACCUGAGAGGGUGAUCGGCCACACUGGAACUGAGACACGGUCCAGACUCCUACGGGAGGCAGCAGUAGGGAAUCUUGCGCAAUGGGCGAAAGCCUGACGGAGCAACGCCGCGUGAGUGAUGAAGGUCUUCGGAUCGUAAAACUCUGUUAUUAGGGAAGAACAAAUUUGUAAGUAACCAUGCACGUCUUGACGGUACCUAAUCAGAAAGCCACGGCUAACUACGUG
RNAcentral lists this ribosomal RNA (497 nucleotides) under uncultured bacterium. RNAcentral describes it as "partial 16S ribosomal RNA". It matches the Rfam family "Bacterial small subunit ribosomal RNA", at positions 28 to 507 of the family's 1533-position model. The record is from RNAcentral.